UAUUGUAUUCAAAACUUUAGUGCUUAUUUUAUUCUUAAAAUAUUAUAUGUAAUUUCGGUUAUAGCAUGCUUUGUUAAGCCUGUAAAUUUUUAUUCUUUUCGUAUGCUUGUUCUCUUUCAUUUGUUUUAAAGUUAAUGGGUAAUUUUAUGUUUACGUUAAAAUCUUGAUCACAUUGAAUAGUACUAAACAUUUGCAAAUUAUCGAUGAUAUUAUUCCUGAGGAUUGCUUGUACAGGGAUGCUGCCAAGACGGGAGUCUCUACCUUCAGCGCUUUCAUUGCGAAAGAAGGUCUUUCCGGUCUCUAAGAUUGAGGCCCCCUUCGCUUUGGAGCUCCGAUUGGCAGUAAAUUCCAUUAAUCCGUGGUUUAUAGUGUUGAAUUUUGGGUUUAGGGACAGUUUUGGGGUCUAUGGAGAAAUGGGGAGUGGGUUUGGGUUAGGUACUUUUACUUUUAGUGGAGUUUCCACAUUGUGAGAUGGAUCAGUUAAUUAACUGUAUAGAUGAACGGUCCAGAUCUCUUUUGAACUAAUGAAGCUAACCCCACCAAGAUCUUGCCACGUCAUCAUCAUCCCCCUCCUUUUGGAACCUCUGGCUCUGGGUAGUGGAGUAGUGCUAUCAUAUAGUUAGUGGUUUAGGGGCAUUGGUUUCAGCCAGGGGACUGAAAGUUCAGGGGCUGGGGCUUGCCCUAUGGUUGUGUAAAAGCUCUUUCUGUGCUUGAGACUUUGAACGGAGAUGAUGUGCCUUUUGUACUACAUGCAUGAGUGCUGCAGCAGCAGCAGCAGUGAGGACAAGAAAGAUUUGGAAGCUAAUCGAAGCAAUAAGGCAAAGCGAAAGAGAAGAAAGAAACCAUUUUGGCUCUUCUUAUCAAGUGUUUUGCAGUACUGAUUUAUCUGUAGUCAGAUUUGAAAUUUUCAAUGGGGCAUUGCUUUGGUGAGUGUUCUUAGGCUGCUUUUCCUGGAACUGAAGCAUCUAUCUCACAAUCUGGAUAUGGGAAAUCUUCAAAGGAGUUUGUCACCUUCCUCCCUUUCCACCUCUUCCUCAUCUUCACUUGGUCCACACCCAUUGCAAAUUGAUCCAGAACUCUGGCUAAUGGCUGAAAAAAGGACCCAAGAGAUACUAUAUGCCAUUCAACCUACUUUUGCUUCUGAGCAUAAAAGGAUGGAAGUCAUCGAUUAUAUUCAGAGUUUAAUUAAAUAUUAUUUUCCAGUUGAGGUCUUUGCAUUUGGUUCGGUCCCUCUGAAAACCUAUCUUCCAGAUGGAGAUAUUGAUCUGAUGGUCCUCAGUCACCAAAACAUGGAGGAAGAAUUAGCCAGGGGUGUCUGCACUCUCCUCCAACGUGAAGAGCUUGACCCUGAAUUCCAAGUAAAUGAUGUCCAAUAUAUUCACGCUCAGGUUAACCUUUUCAACUCUGAUACUUUAAAAGUGAUGACUUUGUGCUCUAGUCAAAUAUUGAGAUGAUACUUAGACCCAUAAACAUAUCCCUCAGUACAUUAGUUGUCUUUCAUUGCCUAUUCUUUCAGUUACUCCACAGUGAGCUAUUUGUUUAUGUAUUUAUGAUUAUGAUUGUGUUGUUGCUGCUGCUGUUGUAACGUGCUUGUGUCCGAAAGCUGAAAAAGAUUAUUACUUAUCCUGCCUUAUCUAAAUCGUGUAUAACGAGAGCUUGAUUGUGUACUUGCAAGCUGAUACCGUUGAUUAUGACAGUAUGGAUUUAGGUGGUCAAUAAAUCCUCUCUUCACAAUACUUAGUUUCCAAUUACUUAUAGGUACACCAAGAAUAUGGGACUUCUAGUAUGCUUCUUCUCCCCACCAAAU
RNA transcript from Populus euphratica (Euphrates poplar), 1807 nucleotides. RefSeq lists it as uncharacterized. The record is from RefSeq and is a predicted model, not a curated record. NCBI's taxonomy places the organism in Eukaryota, Viridiplantae, Streptophyta, Magnoliopsida, Malpighiales, Salicaceae. The transcript is spliced from 3 exons.